UUAGCCCUAAACAUAGAUAAUUAUGUAAACAAAAUUAUUCGCCAGAGUACUACUAGCAACAGCUUAAAACUCAAAGGACUUGGCGGUGCUUCAUAUCCUUCUAGAGGAGCCUGUUCUGUAAUCGAUAAACCCCGAUAAACCUCACCAAUUCUUGCUAAUACAGUCUAUAUACCGCCAUCUUCAGCAAACCCUAUAAAGGAACAAAAGUAAGCACAAUCAUAAUACAUAAAAAAGUUAGGUCAAGGUGUAACCUAUGAAAUGGGAAGAAAUGGGCUACAUUUUCUCAAACUAAGAAAAUCAACACACGAAAACCAUUAUGAAACUAAUAGUUAAAGGAGGAUUUAGCAGUAAACUGAGAAUAGAGUGCUUAGUUGAACUAGGCCAUGAAGCACGC
Molecule: ribosomal RNA, 394 nt
Filed under: Tragelaphus scriptus (bushbuck)
Lineage: Eukaryota; Metazoa; Chordata; Mammalia; Artiodactyla; Bovidae
Description: partial 12S ribosomal RNA
Rfam family: Bacterial small subunit ribosomal RNA
Source: RNAcentral